This 594-nucleotide ribosomal RNA is filed under the name uncultured Basidiomycota. RNAcentral describes it as "eukaryotic LSU rRNA". It matches the Rfam family "Eukaryotic large subunit ribosomal RNA", at positions 81 to 657 of the family's 3401-position model. Lineage: Eukaryota; Fungi; Basidiomycota. The record is from RNAcentral.
UAGUACGGCGAGUGACCGGGAAGAAGCUCAAAUUUGAAAUCUGGCGUGCUCAGUGCGUCCGAGUUGUAAUCUAUAGAGACGUUUUCCGUGCCGGACCGUGUCCAAGUCCCUUGGAACAGGGUAUCAAAGAGGGUGACAAUCCCGUACUUGACACGAUGACCGGUGCUCUGUGAUACGUCUUCUACGAGUCGAGUUGUUUGGGAAUGCAGCUCAAAAUGGGUGGUGAGUUCCAUCUAAAGCUAAAUAUUGGCGAGAGACCGAUAGCGAACAAGUACAGUGAUGGAAAGAUGAAAAGAACUUUGAAAAGAGAGUUAAACAGUACGUGAAAUUGCCAAAAGGGAAGGGUAGGAGGUCAGAGAUGCGGCCUGGGAUUCAGCCUUGCUUUUGCUUGGUGUUUUUCCCAGAUUGCAGGCCAACGUCGGUUUUGGGCACUGGAGAAGGGUAGGAGGAACGUGGCACCCCUCGGGGUGUGUUAUAGCCUCCUACUGGAUACAGCGACCGAGACCGAGGACAGCAGCGUACUCGCAAGAGCGGGCCUUCGGGCACCUUUACGCUUAGGGCGUUGGCAUAAUGGCCCUCUACCACCCGUCUUGA